AUUGAACGCUGGCGGCAGGCCUAACACAUGCAAGUCGAGCUGAUGAAGGGAGCUUGCUCCUGGAUUCAGCGGCGGACGGGUGAGUAAUGCCUAGGAAUCUGCCUGGUAGUGGGGGAUAACGUCCGGAAACGGGCGCUAAUACCGCAUACGUCCUGAGGGAGAAAGUGGGGGAUCUUCGGACCUCACGCUAUCAGAUGAGCCUAGGUCGGAUUAGCUAGUUGGUGGGGUAAAGGCCUACCAAGGCGACGAUCCGUAACUGGUCUGAGAGGAUGAUCAGUCACACUGGAACUGAGACACGGUCCAGACUCCUACGGGAGGCAGCAGUGGGGAAUAUUGGACAAAGGGCGAAAGCCUGAUCCAGCCAUGCCGCGUGUGUGAAGAAGGUCUUCGGAUUGUAAAGCACUUUAAGUUGGGAGGAAGGGCAGUAAGUUAAUACCUUGCUGUUUUGACGUUACCAACAGAAUAAGCACCGGCUAACUUCGUG
RNAcentral lists this ribosomal RNA (484 nucleotides) under uncultured bacterium. RNAcentral's name for it is "partial 16S ribosomal RNA". It matches the Rfam family "Bacterial small subunit ribosomal RNA", at positions 30 to 507 of the family's 1533-position model. The record is from RNAcentral.